Molecule: ribosomal RNA, 499 nt
Filed under: uncultured bacterium
Lineage: Bacteria
Description: partial 16S ribosomal RNA
Rfam family: Bacterial small subunit ribosomal RNA
Source: RNAcentral
AUUGAACGCUGGCGGAAUGCUUACACAUGCAAGUCGAACGGCAGCACGGACUUCGGUCUGGUGGCGAGUGGCGAACGGGUGAGUAAUGUAUCGGAACGUGCCCAGUCGUGGGGGAUAACGUAGUGAAAAUUACGCUAAUACCGCAUACGAUCUAUGGAUGAAAGCGGGGGAUCGCAAGACCUCGCGCGAUUGGAGCGGCCGAUAUCAGAUUGGGUAGUUGGUGGGGUAAAGGCCCACCAAGCCAACGAUCUGUAGCUGGUCUGAGAGGACGACCAGCCACACUGGAACUGAGACACGGUCCAGACUCGUACGGGAGGCAGCAGUGGGGAAUUUUGGACAAUGGGCGAAAGCCUGAUCCAGCCAUUCCGCGUGCAGGAUGAAGGCCCUCGGGUUGUAAACUGCUUUUGUACAGAACGAAAAGGUUUCUACUAAUACUAGGAGCUCAUGACGGUACUGUAAGAAUAAGCACCGGCUAACUACGUGCCAGCCGCCGCCGUAA